GACGAACGCUGGCGGCGUGCCUAAUACAUGCAAGUCGAGCGAAGUUUUUCUGGUGCUUGCACUAGAAAAACUUAGCGGCGAACGGGUGAGUAACACGUAAAGAACCUGCCUCAUAGACUGGGACAACUAUUGGAAACGAUAGCUAAUACCGGAUAACAGUAUUUCUCGCAUGAGAGAUAUUUAAAAGUUGGUUAUGCUAACACUAUGAGAUGGCUUUGCGGUGCAUUAGCUAGUUGGUGGGGUAAAGGCCCACCAAGGCGACGAUGCAUAGCCGACCUGAGAGGGUGAUCGGCCACACUGGGACUGAGACACGGCCCAGACUCCUGCGGGAGGCAGCAGUAGGGAAUCUUCCGCAAUGGGCGAAAGCCUGACGGAGCAACGCCGCGUGAGUGAAGAAGGAUUUCGGUUCGUAAAGCUCUGUUGUUAGGGAAGAAUGGAUAUGUAGUAACUAUACAUGUAAGAGACGGUACCUAACCAGAAAGCCACGGCUAACUACGUG
RNAcentral lists this ribosomal RNA (499 nucleotides) under uncultured bacterium. Its description in RNAcentral is "partial 16S ribosomal RNA". It matches the Rfam family "Bacterial small subunit ribosomal RNA", at positions 28 to 507 of the family's 1533-position model. The record is from RNAcentral.